AUGAGCAUCUCCGUGAACGGGCAGUCGGUGGUGCCGCCGGGGUUCCGGUUCCACCCGAUGGAGGAGGAGCUGCUCACCUACUACCUCACCAAGAAGGUGGCCCCGCAGCGCAUGGACCUGGACGUCAUCCGCGACGUCGACCUCACCAAGCUCGAGCCAUGGGACAUCCAAGAGCUCUGCCGGAUCGGAACAGGCCCGCAGAACGACUGGUACCUGUUCAGCCACAAGGACAAGAAAUAUCCAACGGGGACGCGCACCAACCGCGCCACGGCCGCCGGGUUCUGGAAGGCCACCGGCCGGGACAAGGCCAUCUACUCUGCCGCCGGCUCCAGCCGCAUCGGCAUGCGCAAGACCCUCGUCUUCUACAAGGGCCGCGCCCCGCACGGCCACAAGUCCGACUGGAUUAUGCACGAGUACCGCCUCGACGACGCCACAACCCCGGGAAACAACCCGGGCAACCCAGCCGCCGGCAACGCCCCCUACUACUCCGGCGCCUCAUCCCUGAUGGGCGGCGUGGCAGGGGACCAGUCGUCGGCGCAGGAGGACGGGUGGGUCAUCUGCAGGUUGUUCAAGAAGAAAACAUCGCCGUGCAGCACCUAG
RNAcentral lists this ribosomal RNA (600 nucleotides) under Triticum aestivum (bread wheat). RNAcentral's name for it is "partial small subunit ribosomal RNA". Lineage: Eukaryota; Viridiplantae; Streptophyta; Magnoliopsida; Poales; Poaceae. The record is from RNAcentral.